AGAGUUUGAUUCUGGCUCAGGAUGAACGCUGGCGGCGUGCUUAACACAUGCAAGUCGAACGGAGUUUUUAAACGGAAGUUUUCGGAUGGAAGUUUAAGAACUUAGUGGCGGACGGGUGAGUAACGCGUGGGUAACCUGCCUCAUACAGGGGGAUAACAGUUAGAAAUGACUGCUAACACCGCAUAAUAUAGCGAAACCGCAUGAUUUUGCUAUCAAAUAUUUAUAGGUAUGAGAUGGGCCCGCGUCUGAUUAGCUAGUUGGUGGGGUAAAGCCUACCAAGGCGACGAUCAGUAGCCGGCUUGAGAGAGUGACCGGCCACAUUGGGACUGAGACACGGCCCAAACUCCUACGGGAGGCAGCAGUGGGGAAUAUUGGACAAUGGGGGAAACCCUGAUCCAGCGAACCGCCGCGUGAGUGAAGAAGUAUUUCGGUAUGUAAAGCUCUAUCAGCAGGGAAGAUAAUGACAGUACCUGACUAAGAAGCCCCGGCUAACUACGUGCCAGCCGCUGC
This 510-nucleotide ribosomal RNA is filed under the name uncultured bacterium. Its description in RNAcentral is "bacterial SSU rRNA". It matches the Rfam family "Bacterial small subunit ribosomal RNA", at positions 8 to 518 of the family's 1533-position model. The record is from RNAcentral.